GUAGGUGAACCUGCGGAAGGAUCAUUAACACGUAUCCACGUAUCAACCCCUCUGUGAAAACCUAUCUCUUGUAAGGCUUGGUCUUAGUGUGCUGUUCGCAUAGAGUCCUAAUGAUGGAGGCUCUCUUCGGAGAUGCCUAGGGCUUGAAUAGCAUGUGUUUGACGUCCGGCCGCCACUUUUCCAUCGUUGGUCCUUUACAAACUUUUAACCCCUUUGUACUCUUUUGUACUGAACCAAUUCUUCGAUGCUC
This 250-nucleotide unclassified non-coding RNA is filed under the name plant metagenome. RNAcentral's name for it is "partial contains small subunit ribosomal RNA, internal transcribed spacer 1, and 5.8S ribosomal RNA". The record is from RNAcentral.